UACCCUAUUAUUAAUAACCUAUAAUAAGAAUUGGAAAAUACGAACUACUGUUUAAACACCAAAGAAUUUGGCGGUGUCUUACUCUAUUAGGGGAACCUGUCCUAUAAUUCGAUAAUCCACGUAUAAAUUACCUAAUUUAGAAAUUCAGUAAGUGUACUGCCGUCUUAAGUAUACCUUUAUGAGAGUAUACUACAAAUUAUAUAUUGAUAUCACGUCAGGUCAAAGUGCUGCCUACAAUUAGGAUGAGAUGGGUUACAAUCUUUAUAUAGAUACGGAAUAAGAUAUGAAUAUAUUUUAUGAAGGUGGACUUAAUAGUAAUUAUACAUAAUAUAAUGAAAAAUAUAAUAAGACAAGU
This 355-nucleotide ribosomal RNA is filed under the name Haementeria gracilis. RNAcentral describes it as "partial 12S ribosomal RNA". It matches the Rfam family "Bacterial small subunit ribosomal RNA", at positions 874 to 1384 of the family's 1533-position model. Lineage: Eukaryota; Metazoa; Annelida; Clitellata; Rhynchobdellida; Glossiphoniidae. The record is from RNAcentral.